Molecule: ribosomal RNA, 466 nt
Filed under: uncultured bacterium
Lineage: Bacteria
Description: partial 16S ribosomal RNA
Rfam family: Bacterial small subunit ribosomal RNA
Source: RNAcentral
GACGAACGCUGGCGGCGUGCUUAACACAUGCAAGUCGAACGGAAAGGCCCUGCUUGCAGGGUACUCGAGUGGCGAACGGGUGAGUAACACGUGGGUGAUCUGCCCUUCACUUCGGGAUAAGCUUGGGAAACUGGGUCUAAUACCGGAUAGGAGCCAUCUUUAGUGUGGUGGUUGGAAAGUUUUUUCGGUGUAGGAUGAGCUCGCGGCCUAUCAGCUUGUUGGUGGGGUAAUGGCCUACCAAGGCGGCGACGGGUAGCCGGCCUGAGAGGGUGUACGGCCACAUUGGGACUGAGAUACGGCCCAGACACCUACGGGAGGCAGCAGUGGGGAAUAUUGCACAAUGGGCGCAAGCCUGAUGCAGCGACGCCGCGGGGGGGAGGAAGGCCUUCGGGUUGUAAACACCUGUCGCUAGGGACGAAGCUUUGUUGUGACGGUACCUAGAGAAGAAGCACCGGCUAACUACGUG